This 491-nucleotide ribosomal RNA is filed under the name uncultured bacterium. Its description in RNAcentral is "partial 16S ribosomal RNA". It matches the Rfam family "Bacterial small subunit ribosomal RNA", at positions 29 to 506 of the family's 1533-position model. The record is from RNAcentral.
AGUGAACGCUGGCGGUAGGCCUAACACAUGCAAGUCGAACGGCAGCACAGUAAGAGCUUGCUCUUACGGGUGGCGAGUGGCGGACGGGUGAGGAAUACAUCGGAAUCUACUUUUUCGGGGGGGAUAACGUAGGGAAACUUACGCUAAUACCGCAUACGACCUACGGGGGAAAGCAGGGGAUCUUCGGACCUUGCGCGAUUGAAUGAGCCGAUGUCGGAUUAGCUAGUUGGGGGGGUAAAGGCCCACCAAGGCGACGAUCCGUAGCUGGUCUGAGAGGAUGAUCAGCCACACUGGAACUGAGACACGGUCCAGACUCCUACGGGAGGCAGCAGUGGGGAAUAUUGGACAAUGGGCGCAAGCCUGAUCCAGCCAUACCGCGUGGGUGAAGAAGGCCUUCGGGUUGUAAAGCCCUUUUGUUGGGAAAGAAAAGCAGCAGGUUAAUACCCCGCUGUUCUGACGGUACCCAAAGAAUAAGCACCGGCUAACUUCGU